UAUUGGACAAUGGGCGGAAGCCUGAUCCAGCAACGCCGCGUGAGGGAUGACGGCCUUCGGGUUGUAAACCUCUUUCAGUACCGACGAAGCGCAAGUGACGGUAGGUACAGAAGAAGCACCGGCCAACUACGUGCCAGCAGCCGCGGUAAGACGUAGGGUGCAAGCGUUGUCCGGAAUUAUUGGGCGUAAAGAGCUCGUAGGCGGCUUGUCGCGUCGACCGUGAAAACUUGGGGCUCAACCCCAAGCCUGCGGUCGAUACGGGCAGGCUAGAGUUCGGUAGGGGAGACUGGAAUUCCUGGUGUAGCGGUGAAAUGCGCAGAUAUCAGGAGGAACACCGGUGGCGAAGGCGGGUCUCUGGGCCGAUACUGACGCUGAGGAGCGAAAGCGUGGGGAGCGAAC
Molecule: ribosomal RNA, 399 nt
Filed under: uncultured bacterium
Lineage: Bacteria
Description: bacterial SSU rRNA
Rfam family: Bacterial small subunit ribosomal RNA
Source: RNAcentral